Prionailurus viverrinus (fishing cat) is the source of this 303-nucleotide long non-coding RNA. RefSeq lists it as uncharacterized. The transcript is spliced from 4 exons. The record is from RefSeq and is a predicted model, not a curated record. NCBI's taxonomy places the organism in Eukaryota, Metazoa, Chordata, Mammalia, Carnivora, Felidae.
UGGGAACUGGAGGAGGUCGCUAACCUACAGGAUGCAGGGAGUAUAUCAGUCGCGGUCCUCCUUUCCUCCUCCCAGUCUGAGUUCCCACUCCCAUGAAGAGUGAGCUAUGGGAAAUGAUACAUGCUUUCUCCCUCUAGAAUGGUGCUGUUUCCUGUCCUGUGAUUGUCUGCAAGCCUUAGUCCUUGAACUCUCUAAACAGUGUUCUACCCUACCUGGCCUUCGACAGUAUAGAAGACCAGCACUCAAAUACCUGAGGCAAUGGAAGAAAGCUGAAAAUGUAAAAAGUCUCCAAGGAAGGGUAAG